CGUGAAAAGGGAAACAACCCAGACCGUCAGCUAAGGUCCCAAAGUUAUGGUUAAGUGGGAAACGAUGUGGGAAGGCUUAGACAGCUAGGAGGUUGGCUUAGAAGCAGCCACCCUUUAAAGAAAGCGUAAUAGCUCACUAGUCGAGUCGGCCUGCGCGGAAGAUUUAACGGGGCUCAAACCAUACACCGAAGCUACGGGUAUCAUCUUAGGAUGAUGCGGUAGAGGAGCGUUCUGUAAGCCUGUGAAGGUGAGUUGAGAAGCUUGCUGGAGGUAUCAGAAGUGCGAAUGCUGACAUGAGUAACGAUAAUGGGUGUGAAAAACACCCACGCCGAAAGACCAAGGUUUCCUGCGCAACGUUAAUCGACGCAGGGUUAGUCGGUCCCUAAGGCGAGGCUGAAAAGCGUAGUCGAUGGAAAACAGGUUAAUAUUCCUGUACUUCUGGUUAUUGCGAUGGAGGGACGGAGAAGGCUAGGCCAGCUUGGCGUUGGUUGUCCAAGUUUAAGGUGGUAGGCUGGAAUCUUAGGUAAAUCCGGGAUUCUAAGGCCGAGAGCUGAUGACGAGUGUUCUUUUAGAACACGAAGUGGUUGAUGCCAUGCUUCCAAGAAAAGCUUCUAAGCUUCAGGUAACCAGGAACCGUACCCCAAACCGACACAGGUGGUUGGGUAGAGAAUACCAAGGCGCUUGAGAGAACUCGGGUGAAGGAACUAGGCAAAAUGGCACCGUAACUUCGGGAGAAGGUGCGCCGAUGGAGGUGAAGCAUUUACUGCGUAAGCCCCUGUCGGUCGAAGAUACCAGGCCGCUGCGACUGUUUAUUAAAAACACAGCACUCUGCAAACACGAAAGUGGACGUAUAGGGUGUGACGCCUGCCCGGUGCCGGAAGGUUAAUUGAUGGGGUUAGCUAACGCGAAGCUCUUGAUCGAAGCCCCGGUAAACGGCGGCCGUAACUAUAACGGUCCUAAGGUAGCGAAAUUCCUUGUCGGGUAAGUUCCGACCUGCACGAAUGGCGUAACGAUGGCGGCGCUGGCUCCACCCGAGACUCAGUGAAAUUGAAAUCGCUGUGAAGAUGCAGUGUAUCCGCGGCUAGACGGAAAGACCCCGUGAACCUUUACUAUAGCUUUGCACUGGACUUUGAAUUUGCUUGUGUAGGAUAGGUGGGAGGCUUUGAAGCGUGAACGCCAGUUUGCGUGGAGCCAACCUUGAAAUACCACCCUGGCAACUUUGAGGUUCUAACUCAGGUCCGUUAUCCGGAUCGAGGACAGUGUAUGGUGGGUAGUUUGACUGGGGCGGUCUCCUCCUAAAGAGUAACGGAGGAGUACGAAGGUGCGCUCAGACCGGUCGGAAAUCGGUCGUAGAGUAUAAAGGCAAAAGCGCGCUUGACUGCGAGACAGACACGUCGAGCAGGUACGAAAGUAGGUCUUAGUGAUCCGGUGGUUCUGUAUGGAAGGGCCAUCGCUCAACGGAUAAAAGGUACUCCGGGGAUAACAGGCUGAUACCGCCCAAGAGUUCAUAUCGACGGCGG
RNAcentral lists this ribosomal RNA (1520 nucleotides) under Pseudomonas fragi B25. RNAcentral's name for it is "bacterial LSU rRNA". It matches the Rfam family "Bacterial large subunit ribosomal RNA", at positions 1009 to 2514 of the family's 2925-position model. Lineage: Bacteria; Pseudomonadati; Pseudomonadota; Gammaproteobacteria; Pseudomonadales; Pseudomonadaceae. The record is from RNAcentral.